GACGAACGCUGGCGGCGUGCCUAAUACAUGCAAGUUGAGCGCUGAAGGUUGGUACUUGUACCGACUGGAUAAGCAGCGAACGGGGGAGUAACGCGUGGGGAAUCUGCCUUUGAGCGGGGGACAACAUUUGGAAACGAAUGCUAAUACCGCAUAAAAACUUUAAACACAAGUUUUAAGUUUGAAAGAUGCAAUUGCAUCACUCAAAGAUGAUCCCGCGUUGUAUUAGCUAGGUGGUGAGGUAAAGGCUCACCAAGGCGAUGAUACAUAGCCGACCUGGGAGGGAGAACGGCCACAUUGGGACUUAGACAAGGCCCAAACUCCUACGGGAGGCAGCAGUAGGGAAUCUUCGGCAAUGGACGAAAGUCUGACCGAGCAACGCCGCGUGAGUGAAGAAGGUUUUCGGAUCGUAAAACUCUGUUGGUAGAGAAGAACGUUGGUGAGAGUGGAAAGCUCAUCAAGUGACGGUAACUACCCAGAAAGGGACGGCUAACUACGUG
Molecule: ribosomal RNA, 497 nt
Filed under: uncultured bacterium
Lineage: Bacteria
Description: partial 16S ribosomal RNA
Rfam family: Bacterial small subunit ribosomal RNA
Source: RNAcentral